This 429-nucleotide ribosomal RNA is filed under the name Lodderomyces orthopsilosis. RNAcentral describes it as "eukaryotic LSU rRNA". It matches the Rfam family "Eukaryotic large subunit ribosomal RNA", at positions 79 to 503 of the family's 3401-position model. Lineage: Eukaryota; Fungi; Ascomycota; Pichiomycetes; Serinales; Debaryomycetaceae. The record is from RNAcentral.
CUUAGUAGCGGCGAGUGAAGCGGCAAAAGCUCAAAUUUGAAAUCUGGCACUUUCAGUGUCCGAGUUGUAAUUUGAAGAAGGUAUCUUUGGGUCUGGCUCUUGUCUAUGUUUCUUGGAACAGAACGUCACAGAGGGUGAGAAUCCCGUGCGAUGAGAUGACCCAGACCUAUGUAAAGUUCCUUCGAAGAGUCGAGUUGUUUGGGAAUGCAGCUCUAAGUGGGUGGUAAAUUCCAUCUAAAGCUAAAUAUUGGCGAGAGACCGAUAGCGAACAAGUACAGUGAUGGAAAGAUGAAAAGAACUUUGAAAAGAGAGUGAAAAAGUACGUGAAAUUGUUGAAAGGGAAGGGCUUGAGAUCAGACUUGGUAUUUUGUAUGUUACUCUCUCGGGGGUGGCCUCUACAGUUUACCGGGCCAGCAUCAGUUUGGGCGG